GAAGGAGAGAAGGAGAGAAACAUCAAUGUAUGGUUGCCUCUCGUGCAACCCCUGCUGGGAACUGGCCUGCAACCCAGAGGUAAAAGAGAAAAAGAAAGCAAGGGAAAGUUGUAGAAGAGGAAGGCGUGAACGGCAAAGACAAGAACCGAGGAGGGCGAGAUGCGGAGCUUUUCCGUCACAAAGCGUGGUGUGCGCACCGCGAGGAGGCUCCUGAGGGCCAGCUACGGAAGGCAAACACCAUACGCCAUCCACCUGGAGUAUUUGGUUCAUGGACUAUAUGGACUCCUGGGCUCACACUCCCUCCUGCGACCUUGUACCCGCACACAGGAGACUCUAAAUGUUAAUGAGACACUGUACUCUGCAUGGUUACGGUCUCUCUGGGCACGUACAACCCGAAAGAGCUUGGCCUCGACAUUUCACUUCAUCACUGUGUGUGAACCAUUCUUACAUCACUCCAACUUGAUUCUGUAUAAUCAAAAACCAACAUCAACCCUAAACUUCUCAUCCAUGUAUAUCAAGCAAAGCAAGAAAUGGUACAAACCACGGAGCAGAAUACACUAAUAUCCAGGUUUGACAACAGCUGGCAUUUAGAUUUAACCCUCCCAACGGACCCAAGGUAAGUGCUACUACCAUUCUGACGUUCUGACUCAGGACAUGUGGGCACAGAGACUCUGAGUAACUUCCCAAGAUCUCACAGCUAGUCAUGGUGGAGCUUGAUUUAAUCUACAGCACUUGGAUCCAGAACUCCUUCCCAACCACUAGGUAAUCCUGCCUCCCAAGUCACUAUUUUGUCAUCCAAAAUAGCUGUGCGUUUUCGAAAUUUGCUCAGCUUUCCCAUGCCUGAUGCUGUCCCCAUGUUUUCUUUCUCUCUGUUUAGCCAUCCGACAAUAUCAGGCCAAGUAAACACUCUUCUAGGUCAAAAGUUGGAAUCCGCUUCAGUUUUGCAGUCUCUGCCCUCGAUUUCUGACCAGUGACUCGCCUCCUGACUUCACAGUUGACAAAGUCAAUCACCUUCCGGGUUUGCCUGGGACCCAGGGAGCCAGGAAAGCCGGAUCCUAGGACUUUUGGAGCUAUAUAAAAAUGGUAAGUUCCGGCGGACCAAGCUGCAAAUUCUGCCAAAAGUUAAGCACUCAUGAUAACUAAUGAUGGUGCAUCAUGUCAUGAACGCGAAAUUCAAAGCCGCCCCAUACUAUUCAAAUAAUCUAAAAAAUCACGCGGUAAAACAGCAUUACUCCCUUUUUCUUCGCAAUUCAGGUCAGCCCUGAGCCUGUCAUUUCGUCACUGGCUCAAGUGUCCCUAGUAAGAGAGUCCCCAGGACUGCACGCAACAAGCAGGGGCCACUCCUGAGCAGUCAACUUCGUCUCACACAGAGCCGUAGGUGCCACCUCCGCAAGUCAUCGUGACCGCGACACCUAGCCUGAGGGGCGCGAGUCCCCCGCCCCCCAAGAGUCCCGGGCCUGACCCCAGCUGUGCGCACUCCCGCGCCUCCCGCAGCACCCCUAUGGGCGCACUCACUUGUAGGGUACCGGCCA
Artibeus jamaicensis (Jamaican fruit-eating bat) is the source of this 1532-nucleotide long non-coding RNA. RefSeq lists it as uncharacterized. NCBI's taxonomy places the organism in Eukaryota, Metazoa, Chordata, Mammalia, Chiroptera, Phyllostomidae. The record is from RefSeq and is a predicted model, not a curated record. The transcript is spliced from 4 exons.